UUCGCAAUGCCCGAAAGGGUGACAAUGCGACGCCGCGUGAGCGAUGAAGGCCUUCGGGUUGUAAAGCUCUGUCGGCUUGGAUGAAGGCAGGGGACAAAUAAUCCUUCUGUUUGACGGUACAGGCAAAGGAAGCCACGGCUAACUCCGUGCCAGCAGCCGCGGUAAUUCGGAGGUGGCAAGCGUUGUUCGGAACCACGGGGCGUAAAGGGCGCGUAGGCGGCAUUGUAAGUCUGUGGUGAAAUCCCUCGGCUCAACCGAGGCAUGGCUGCAGAUACUGCUUUGCUAGAGUGUGAGAGGGGAGAGUGGAACUCCUGGUGGAGUGGUGAAAUGCGUAGAUAUCAGAUGGAACGCCGGAGGCGAAGGCGGCUCUCUGGACCGUUACUGACGCUGGGCGCGAAAGCUAGGGGAGCAAAUGGGAUUAGAUACCCCAGUAGUCCUAGCCGUAAACGAUGGGCACUAAGUAGAGGGGUUUU
Molecule: ribosomal RNA, 473 nt
Filed under: uncultured bacterium
Lineage: Bacteria
Description: bacterial SSU rRNA
Rfam family: Bacterial small subunit ribosomal RNA
Source: RNAcentral